This 1497-nucleotide ribosomal RNA is filed under the name metagenome. Its description in RNAcentral is "bacterial SSU rRNA". It matches the Rfam family "Bacterial small subunit ribosomal RNA". The record is from RNAcentral.
AGAGUUUGAUCCUGGCUCAGGACGAACGCUGGCGGCGUGCCUAAUACAUGCAAGUCGAGCGGACAGAUGGGAGCUUGCUCCCUGAUGUUAGCGGCGGACGGGUGAGUAACACGUGGGUAACCUGCCUGUAAGACUGGGAUAACUCCGGGAAACCGGGGCUAAUACCGGAUGGUUGUUUGAACCGCAUGGUUCAAACAUAAAAGGUGGCUUCGGCUACCACUUGCAGAUGGACCCGCGGCGCAUUAGCUAGUUGGUGAGGUAAUGGCUCACCAAGGCAACGAUGCGUAGCCGACCUGAGAGGGUGAUCGGCCACACUGGGACUGAGACACGGCCCAGACUCCUACGGGAGGCAGCAGUAGGGAAUCUUCCGCAAUGGACGAAAGUCUGACGGAGCAACGCCGCGUGAGUGAUGAAAGUUUUCGGAUCGUAAAGCUCUGUUGUUAGGGAAGAACAAGUGCCGUUCGAAUAGGGCGGUACCUUGACGGUACCUAACCAGAAAGCCACGGCUAACUACGUGCCAGCAGCCGCGGUAAUACGUAGGUGGCAAGCGUUGUCCGGAAUUAUUGGGCGUAAAGGGCUCGCAGGCGGUUUCUUAAGUCUGAUGUGAAAGCCCCCGGCUCAACCGGGGAGGGUCAUUGGAAACUGGGGAACCUGAGUGCAGAAGAGGAGAGUGGAAUUCCACGUGUAGCGGUGAAAUGCGUAGAGAUGUGGAGGAACACCAGUGGCGAAGGCGACUCUCUGGUCUGUAACUGACGCUGAGGAGCGAAAGCGUGGGGAGCGAACAGGAUUAGAUACCCUGGUAGUCCACGCCGUAAACGAUGAGUGCUAAGUGUUAGGGGGUUUCCGCCCCUUAGUGCUGCAGCUAACGCAUUAAGCACUCCGCCUGGGGAGUACGGUCGCAAGACUGAAACUCAAAGGAAUUGACGGGGGCCCGCACAAGCGGUGGAGCAUGUGGUUUAAUUCGGAGCAACGCGAAGAACCUUACCAGGUCUUGACAUCCUCUGACAAUCCUAGAGAUAGGACGUCCCCUUCGGGGGCAGAGUGACAGGUGGUGCAUGGUUGUCGUCAGCUCGUGUCGUGAGAUGUUGGGUUAAGUCCCGCAACGAGCGCAACCCUUGAUCUUAGUUGCCAGCAUUCAGUUGGGCACUCUAAGGUGACUGCCGGUGACAAACCGGAGGAAGGUGGGGAUGACGUCAAAUCAUCAUGCCCCUUAUGACCUGGGCUACACACGUGCUACAAUGGACAGAACAAAGGGCAGCGAAACCGCGAGGUUAAGCCAAUCCCACAAAUCUGUUCUCAGUUCGGAUCGCAGUCUGCAACUCGACUGCGUGAAGCUGGAAUCGCUAGUAAUCGCGGAUCAGCAUGCCGCGGUGAAUACGUUCCCGGGCCUUGUACACACCGCCCGUCACACCACGAGAGUUUGUAACACCCGAAGUCGGUGAGGUAACCUUUUAGGAGCCAGCCGCCGAAGGUGGGACAGAUGAUUGGGGUGAAGUC